AUGCAGUCGACGAUGAUGCCCACUUGUGGGUGGAUUAGUGGCGAACGGGUGAGUAACACGUGAGUAACCUGCCCUUGACUCUGGGAUAAGCCUGGGAAACUGGGUCUAAUACCGGAUAUGACCUUCCAUCGCAUGGUGGUUGGUGGAAAGCUUUUGUGGUUUUGGAUGGACUCGCGGCCUAUCAGCUUGUUGGUGGGGUAAUGGCCUACCAAGGCGACGACGGGUAGCCGGCCUGAGAGGGUGACCGGCCACACUGGGACUGAGACACGGCCCAGACUCCUACGGGAGGCAGCAGUGGGGAAUAUUGCACAAUGGGCGCAAGCCUGAUGCAGCGACGCCGCGUGAGGGAUGACGGCCUUCGGGUUGUAAACCUCUUUCAGUAGGGAAGAAGCGUAAGUGACGGUACCUGCAGAAGAAGCGCCGGCUAACUACGUGCCAGCAGCCGCGGUAAUACGUAGGGCGCAAGCGUUAUCCGGAAUUAUUGGGCGUAAAGAGCUCGUAGGCGGUUUGUCGCGUCUGCCGUGAAAGUCCGGGGCUCAACUCCGGAUCUGCGGUGGGUACGGGCAGACUAGAGUGAUGUAGGGGAGACUGGAAUUCCUGGUGUAGCGGUGAAAUGCGCAGAUAUCAGGAGGAACACCGAUGGCGAAGGCAGGUCUCUGGGCAUUAACUGACGCUGAGGAGCGAAAGCAUGGGGAGCGAACAGGAUUAGAUACCCUGGUAGUCCAUGCCGUAAACGUUGGGCACUAGGUGUGGGGGACAUUCCACGUUUUCCGCGCCGUAGCUAACGCAUUAA
RNAcentral lists this ribosomal RNA (793 nucleotides) under Arthrobacter sp. 8AJ. RNAcentral describes it as "bacterial SSU rRNA". It matches the Rfam family "Bacterial small subunit ribosomal RNA", at positions 55 to 863 of the family's 1533-position model. Lineage: Bacteria; Bacillati; Actinomycetota; Actinomycetes; Micrococcales; Micrococcaceae. The record is from RNAcentral.